RNAcentral lists this long non-coding RNA (244 nucleotides) under Carica papaya (papaya). Its description in RNAcentral is "long non-coding RNA (CPAP_LNC005202)". The record is from RNAcentral. Lineage: Eukaryota; Viridiplantae; Streptophyta; Magnoliopsida; Brassicales; Caricaceae.
AUUGAGUUCUAGCAACUCUAAAACAUAAGUCAACCUUGAAUCUAAUAUAAUUUUGGUACAAAAUUAAGAUUGAAACAAGAAAGUGUGACGAAAAUGCAAUGAUAGUGAGCGAUUCACGAAAAAGACUCUAGUAAGUUCACUAAGAUAAUGUUAUGCGUCAUUGGUGUGGUGAAAAACAAUAUUGACAUUAUAACUAUGGAAAAACUUGAUAGAAAGAGUUUUUUAAAUUGAGUUAUUAUCGCAC